Molecule: long non-coding RNA, 2331 nt
Organism: Helianthus annuus (common sunflower)
Lineage: Eukaryota; Viridiplantae; Streptophyta; Magnoliopsida; Asterales; Asteraceae
Exons: 4
Source: RefSeq, a predicted model, not a curated record
GGGCAUUUCAGGUCUUUAACACAAGACACGUGGGAGUCUCCUCAGCCUCCACAACUUCCCAUCUCAUUUCCUCUUCCGGUAUGAAGACACAGAACACAGAUUAGUUAUAGAGAGAGACAAAAUUAGCCAGGUAGAGAGAGCGGAAUGGAGGAACGGGCGGUGGUCUUCGUCCGGCCACCGACCAGUGGUUUUGACGUAGCAAACAACGAUAGAAUUUGACACACUCACUUUUUAGAAUCCAGAUGAGGGUUGUUUUUAGAGAAAGGGGUGUUCACCUGCUGUUACCGGUGAUGUUCCGGCCAUGACGGCGGCGGAUCUGUGUACCAAAUCACCACCGUCGUUCACCAUCUCCACCACCCUCAUCUUCAAAAUUCGUCCAAACUUCAACAAAACGAAAUGAACAGUAAAUCAGGGCACAUCUGCUGACCGCUGCUGGCCACCAUUCAUUGGUUGUGGUGAGGCCUGAUUGGCCCCUUUUGGCGGUGAUAACCUCAUCAUCAAAUCAGACACGCGUUGGUUUACCUUUGUCCCCCUUUUUGCUUUCUCUGUUCAACAUUCAGCAUCAGACAUCAGUGUUUCAUCUGAGGACCAGGCAGAUGAGGAGUUGUCGGCCAUGGCCUCCGGCCGCCCUCCUCGCCCUGGUUACACACCUCGCUGAUGAUGGCGGUGGUGGUGGUUUAUAGUGUUUCAUUUGUGUGGUUGGCUGUGACCACUGCCUUACCACUGUCGGUUACUUCCACAACCACCACCGUCUUCCCGGCCGUCGGUGUCGCCGGUGCUUGCGAAUCUGAAACCCUAACCCCCAAACCCAUCUUUCUCUUACUGGGUUUCUGCUGGUGGAAUGUGUGGUUGGCUGUGCUUAAGCUGACGGUUGUUAGGCUGUGAUGAGUAUCAAAUUCAUAUAGAUCAUUCAUAAAGUUGGCGCGGCAGGGUGGUGGAUGGUAGGUAUAGAACUGCAACCCACCUUGCAGCCAGCUUCUUUUGGAACUCUGAGCUUUAGAUUUGUUUUUAUUGUGUGUUUGAUUUUUAAUGUUUCUCCUGUGUUUGCAAAUGUGUUGAUACAUAUGUGUUUGCGGUAUGCUUUUCGCUGAAUUGGUUGAUUUGUGAUAAGGAAAACAGAUUAGGUGUUAAUCGAUUGGUAAAUUUGGUGUUAAUUCUUUGUUGAGAAAUUUGGUCUCAAUCGAUAGGUAAGUUUGUGUAGCUCAGCGGUUGUCCGAUGAUGACGGUGGUGGCGUUAAUGGCAACGAUGCCUGUUUGGUUUCUGACAAGGGUUCCAACCGUGACAGUGAUGUUGAGGUGAUGGUUAUCGCCAAGUUGAGACCCGAUUGCUUAAUUUUGUUUAGCCAAUCACAUGUAACGUGAUUUUGGUGAUUAGGAGGUAACUGCCGGUGGCAAGGCAGGCCGCCGGCCAUAACGUUUUAUGGUUAGGCUUAAGGUGGUGGUCCUACGGUAGUGCACAGUGGUGAUGGGUGUUGGAAUGAAAUGUGAUGGUUGUUGUUGAUGGGUUGGCUACCUUGAAUUAUGGAGACCAAAAGAGAUUUACACGAUGGCUGGAGUGAUGAUGUUUGACGACAAGUACAAGUGAUGUUUCCGGCGACAGAACGACCACAAGCCGGUGGACAAAUGGACGUUACAUGGUGGUUACCGAGAUGGUUGUCAAGGGUCGUGGUUUGGAUAAUGAACAGGUGGUGACCGAAAGCUAUGAGGCUUAUAUGGGUCUCUUCCAUUUGGUUAACUCAGACAACGGUGACGAGACAGGUUGGCUUUGUUCAACAAUAGACCCAGAGGAUUCGGAGAGUUUACGAAGAGGAAGAUCUGAAGUAUAUUGGGUUCGAUUUGGUUGAUCAAGUGAAAUGGACUUCUUACUUCAGGGUUGUAUCUGGUUUUGUUCAAUUGAAGAUUGAUUGAUGGAGAUGAGAAAAGAACAAAGGAACUGGAAUGCUUACUAAUUGGCCAAUACAGUAUUUACAAUGAAGAUUUGAUCUAUAUAUAAAUCAAGAAGAAACAAAAUUGGCAGGAAUGAAAAUGUCUUUUUUAUUAUUCAAUGAAAAUGUGUUCAUACCAAGAACAAGUCCUAUUUCAAAGACUAAGAAUCAAGUGAGAAGAUGAACUCCCCUGCUGCUCCAGAAUCCAGGCAAGAUUGCUGCCAAACGCACUCACUGGCACCGACCUCUUGGCCCAGCAUACAUAAGAGUGGUACACUUUUUAAGUCAUAAGGUUAUUUGAUUUGGGUUUCAUGUAGCUCAACAAUUGUUCUAUAUUGGUUUAUUAUGUUUUUGAUGGCUUUGAUCUAUUUGAAUUCGUUUGAUUAAUACUCAUAGCUGUUUUGUA